RNAcentral lists this non-coding RNA (26 nucleotides) under Rattus norvegicus (Norway rat). Lineage: Eukaryota; Metazoa; Chordata; Mammalia; Rodentia; Muridae. The record is from RNAcentral.
UCAAGUUCAAGUGAUGCUACCUUCGC